Molecule: ribosomal RNA, 435 nt
Filed under: uncultured Glomus
Lineage: Eukaryota; Fungi; Glomeromycota; Glomeromycetes; Glomerales; Glomeraceae
Description: SSU rRNA
Rfam family: Eukaryotic small subunit ribosomal RNA
Source: RNAcentral
CGCAGCCGCGGUAAUUCCAGCUCCAAUAGCGUAUAUUAAAGUUGUUGCAGUUAAAAAGCUCGUAGUUGAAUUUCGGGACUAACAGGUUGGUCGCGCCUUUGGUGUGUACUGGCCUAGUUGGUUUCUCCCUUCUGACGAACCACGAUGUCAUUAAUUUGGUGUCUUGGGGAAUCAGGACUGUUACUUUGAAAAAUUGAGUGUUUAAAGCAGGCUCACGCUUGAAUACAUUAGCAUGGAAUAACGAAAUAGGACGUUUGAUUCUAUUUUGUUGGUUUCUAGGAUCGACGUAAUGAUUAAUAGGGAUAGUUGGGGGCAUUAGUAUUCAAUUGUCAGAGGUGAAAUUCUUGGAUUUAUUGAAGACUAACUACUGCGAAAGCAAUUUGCCAAGGAUGUUUUCAUUAAUCAAGAAUGAAAGUUAGGGGAUCGAAGACGAUC